GUAUUGCUGAGGAGUCCCACAACUGGAUGAAACGACCGUCCAAUGC
Molecule: non-coding RNA, 46 nt
Filed under: Schistosoma curassoni
Lineage: Eukaryota; Metazoa; Platyhelminthes; Trematoda; Strigeidida; Schistosomatidae
Source: RNAcentral